RNA transcript from Pyrgilauda ruficollis (rufous-necked snowfinch), 2544 nucleotides. It is a transcript of the gene named solute carrier family 44 member 3, with no coding region annotated. The record is from RefSeq and is a predicted model, not a curated record. The transcript has 17 exons. Lineage: Eukaryota; Metazoa; Chordata; Aves; Passeriformes; Passeridae.
GACCAGCCAUUUACAGAAAGUGUACGGACACUCUCUGGCUGCUCCUCUUCUGUCUUUUCUGGGCUGGUUUGGAACUCCUUAAAUGGAAGCUGAUGCAGAAUAUUACCUAUACAUUUAGAAUACUACACAAAUGGAUGGUGAACUUUGUGAGCAGGAUAGGGGUUUUUACCUGCUGUGUAAUGCUUACUGCUUUGAUCAGUGGAGGGGAUGCCACAAAUUAAACCUCUCAAAUAAUGUUUAUAAGUGGCUAUGCUGUGGUGGCUGGUGCUGCAGAAAGACUCGUGCUUGGAUAUGACAGCUUUGGGAACAUAUGUGGUCGGAAGAACACUCCUGUAGAAGGGGCAAAUCUUUCUGGAUUAGACAUGACUAAUAAAAAGUAUGUGUUCUUUCUGAAUUCAUGCAGCCUGGAAAUACAAAGCCUCAAAAGCAGUUCACUUUCCUUGUGUGUGUCAAGUUGUCCACAACAGCAACUCAACUCUUUGGAAGAUCUACAGAGUUUUGCAAGGAAUAAUGGUUCUUUCCUUUGUGUUUACAACUUGAAUGUUUCCAGUUACACACUAAAUCCAAAAGCAGCUCAGCUGUGUCCCACACUGCCAGUUCCACCAAGUAAAUCCUUUCCAUUAUUUAAUCGCUGUGUUCCGCAAAAUCCUGAAUGCUAUUCCAAAUAUGCAUCUGUCCUAAUAAGUAUGGUUAAUGAAAUGGAUGUUUUUCAUCGGAUUCUGAGUGGAAUAUUGGCAGGAAGAGAUACUGUGAUAGGACUGAGUGUCCUUGCACUAGCCCUCUCUUUGAUACUGCUUUUAGCCUUCAGAUUCAUUCAGACUCUCUUCAUCCAUACUCUGAUUGCACUGGUUGUAUUCGGGUUGUUGUUUGGCUCAGGUGUUCUCUGGUGGCUCCAUUACGACUACAGGAAUGACCCCAGCACUGAACUGGAAACAGAAAAGGAAAAUGUAAAGUUCCUACUUGGAUAUGCCAUCUUAUCAACAAUUGUCACUGUUGUUCUGCUCUCCCUUAUAUUUGUACUAAGAAAGAGGCUUCCAUUCUCUGUACAGCUCUUUCGAAUUGUUGGCAAAAUCAUUGGCAGAAUUCCUUUCCUCCUGUUCCAGCCACUCUGGACUUUUCUGAUUCUCAUUGUGUUCUGGAUAUUUUGGGUUGCUGUACUGCUCAGCUUAGGAACUGCAGGUACUGCACAGUCCACUUCAGGAGGACAAGUAGAAUACAGAGCUCUGUCUGGAAUUUGCUACAUGGCAUGGUAUCAUUUCGUUGGCCUUAUCUGGACUAGUGAAUUCAUUCUUGCCUGUCAGCAAAUGGUGAUUGCUGGGGCAGUGGUUACUUGUUAUUUCAACAGAAAUAAAAAUAACCCACCACCUCACCCAGUCCUGUCUUCCAUAUCAGUUCUUUUCUGCUACCACCUAGGAACUGCUGUGAAAGGCUCAUUUCUAAUCACAAUACUGAGAAUACCAAGGAUUGUUCUCUUGUGCCUUUACAAUAUCCUAAACCAAAAGAGGAAUGCAAAGCACCAGUUCAACUGCUGUUUCUGCUGGGUUUGCAUCCAGAAGAGUUGCUUAAGAUACUUUAACCAGCAUGCAUACACAACUACAGCCAUAAAUGGGACAGAUUUUUGUACAUCAGCAAAGGAUGCUGUCAGUAUUUUGGCAAGGAAUUCUGAUAAACUUGCAUCCAUUAGCUGCUUUGGAGAUUUUCUCCUAUUUUUAGGAAAGGUGUUUGUUGUAUGCUUCACUGUUUUUGGAGGAUUGAUGGCAUUUAACUACCACCGGGACUUGCAAGCUUGGGUAGUUCCUCUGUUGCUGGUUGGAUUUUUUGCCUACCUGAUGUCUCACAGCUUUCUGUCUGUGUUUGAAGUGACAGCAGAUGCCAUGUUCCUUUGCUUUGCUAUUGAUAUGGAAACAAAUGAUGGAACUGGAGAGAAGCCAUACUUUGUGGAUCAGGAGCUGCUGCCAUGCCCUAGAGCUGUGGGUGAAGAGAGGAUUUCCCACAGGGACAAGGAGUCUUCCAAGCAGGACAGGCUCUAUACCCUUCUAUGGAAAAACUGUGGGCAGCACAUCCAAACUCCUCCUCAUUGUAUGAUCAAGAUUGCAUUCAUCACUUUUGCUGCCUCUGCAGUCCCUCACAGUAUCACUCAGUGUCAUCCAGCCAGGAACCAGCUACAGUUUCUUAGCCCUGGGCUAAUUAUCUUCCUUCACCAGGUAUUUUUAUUACCAUAAUGAUUUCCUUUCACAAACGAUCUCACCCUGGUUUUUGCUUGUAGACCUUUGUGAGUCAGAGUAACAAGUUAACAGAAGGGCAAAAACACAGAAACACAAGACCAUUCCAGGAUAAUGAAGAUGGGACAGAGCUCCAGCCUAUGACUUAAAUGUGAAGUACACCAGGAGGUGUGGAAGCCGAGCAGCAACAGCAAAAAUGGUCAUAUCAGUAAAGUUUACCAAUAGCCCAGGACAAAGUAUUAGCUCCCUAAAUCUGUUGUAUCUUCUGCACUGGUAAAAUGACACACAAUCUGUUUGUAUGAAUAAAAUAUUUUGUGUGUCA